UGGGGAAUAUUGCACAAUGGGCGCAAGCCUGAUGCAGCCAUGCCGCGUGUAUGAAGAAGGCCUUCGGGUUGUAAAGUACUUUCAGCGGGGAGGAAGGCGAUAAGGUUAAUAACCUUGUCGAUUGACGUUACCCGCAGAAGAAGCACCGGCUAACUCCGUGCCAGCAGCCGCGGUAAUACGGAGGGUGCAAGCGUUAAUCGGAAUUACUGGGCGUAAAGCGCACGCAGGCGGUCUGUCAAGUCGGAUGUGAAAUCCCCGGGCUCAACCUGGGAACUGCAUUCGAAACUGGCAGGCUAGAGUCUUGUAGAGGGGGGUAGAAUUCCAGGUGUAGCGGUGAAAUGCGUAGAGAUCUGGAGGAAUACCGGUGGCGAAGGCGGCCCCCUGGACAAAGACUGACGCUCAGGUGCGAAGCGUGGGGAGCAAACA
This 426-nucleotide ribosomal RNA is filed under the name uncultured bacterium. RNAcentral's name for it is "partial 16S ribosomal RNA". It matches the Rfam family "Bacterial small subunit ribosomal RNA", at positions 355 to 774 of the family's 1533-position model. The record is from RNAcentral.